UCAUUAUAGGCAACACCAUCCAUAUUAUCUAUGGAAUUCGAACCCGAACUCUAUUUAUGAUUCCUUAUUUCUAUCUCAUUAGCCUUGUUUCAAUUUUAUUUCGUAUUUUAUUUCAAUAUAUCGAUUUUUUUUACUUUACGUCCAACCUCUCCCCCCUUUUUCCAUCUAUAUUCCCUUUUUUUUUCAUUUCAGGGCCGAAUUACGCCCA
This 208-nucleotide long non-coding RNA is filed under the name Gossypium barbadense (sea-island cotton). RNAcentral's name for it is "long non-coding RNA (GBAR_LNC003204)". The record is from RNAcentral. Lineage: Eukaryota; Viridiplantae; Streptophyta; Magnoliopsida; Malvales; Malvaceae.